This 288-nucleotide long non-coding RNA is filed under the name Lotus japonicus. RNAcentral describes it as "long non-coding RNA (LJAP_LNC000253)". The record is from RNAcentral. Lineage: Eukaryota; Viridiplantae; Streptophyta; Magnoliopsida; Fabales; Fabaceae.
UAUAAGUUUAUUGGGUUGAGCCCAAUUGACAAGUGUGUGUGAGCUUUUGUGUAAGGCCCAAUGGGCGUAAUAUCCAUGAUGGAUGGACAUUAGGUUUUCCAUGUUUUAUUAAUAGAGGGCAGGAUCCCCACUUGACUUUGACGUUCUUUAACGGCUUGUGCUCCAUCGAACGGGUCAGUUUGCAAGAGACGAGAGAUCAAGUGGAAGAUCCUGUUUUACCGUUUUAUUACUGUUUCUGUUGGUGUUCUAAUUCCUAGUAUAGAUCUAGUUAAUAUGUAAUUUCUACAU